This 402-nucleotide ribosomal RNA is filed under the name uncultured bacterium. RNAcentral's name for it is "bacterial SSU rRNA". It matches the Rfam family "Bacterial small subunit ribosomal RNA", at positions 355 to 774 of the family's 1533-position model. The record is from RNAcentral.
UGGGGAAUCUUGCACAAUGGGGGAAACCCUGAUGCAGCGACGCCGCGUGAACGAUGAAGCCCUUCGGGGUGUAAAGUUCUUUCGACAGGAACGAUAAUGACGGUACCUGGAGAAGAAGCUGCGGCUAACUACGUGCCAGCAGCCGCGGUAAUACGUAGGCAGCGAGCGUUGUUCGGAGUUACUGGGCGUAAAGAGUGCGUAGGCGGCGAGCCAAGUUUGGUGUGAAAUCUCCCGGCUUAACCGGGAGGGUGCGCCGAAAACUGGUUGGCUGGAGUAUGGGAGAGGAAAGCGGAAUUCCUGGUGUAGCGGUGAAAUGCGUAGAUAUCAGGAGGAACACCUGCGGUGUAGACAGCUUUCUGGACCAAAACUGACGCUGAGGCAUGAAAGCGUGGGGAGCAAACA